RNAcentral lists this unclassified non-coding RNA (353 nucleotides) under soil metagenome. Its description in RNAcentral is "partial contains 5.8S ribosomal RNA, internal transcribed spacer 2, and large subunit ribosomal RNA". The stretch from base 1 to 120 matches the Rfam family "5.8S ribosomal RNA", at positions 35 to 154 of the family's 154-position model. The record is from RNAcentral.
GAUGAAGAACGUAGCGAAAUGCGAUAAGUAAUGUGAAUUGCAGAAUUCAGUGAAUCAUCGAAUCUUUGACCGCACAUUGCGCCCGCCAGUAUUCUGGCGGGCAUGCCUGUUCGAGCGUCAUUACAACCCUCAGGCCCCCGGGCCUGGCGUUGGGGAUCGGCGGAAGCCCCCUGCGGGCACAACGCCGUCCCCCAAAUACAGUGGCGGUCCCGCCGCAGCUUCCAUUGCGUAGUAGCUAACACCUCGCAACUGGAGAGCGGCGCGGCCACGCCGUAAAACACCCAACUUCUGAAUGUUGACCUCGAAUCAGGUAGGAAUACCCGCUGAACUUAAGCAUAUCAAUAAGCGGAGGA